This 484-nucleotide ribosomal RNA is filed under the name uncultured bacterium. Its description in RNAcentral is "partial 16S ribosomal RNA". It matches the Rfam family "Bacterial small subunit ribosomal RNA", at positions 28 to 523 of the family's 1533-position model. The record is from RNAcentral.
GACGAACGCUGGCGGCGUGCUUAACACAUGCAAGUCGAACGAUGAAACCGGAGCUUGCUCCGGUGGAUUAGUGGCGAACGGGUGAGUAACACGUGAGUAACCUGCCCUUGACUCUGGGAUAACUGCGGGAAACUGUAGCUAAUACCGGAUACGACCCUCGGAGGCAUCUCCUGGGGGUGGAAAGAAUUUCGGUCAAGGAUGGGCUCGCGGCCUAUCAGCUAGUUGGUGAGGUAACGGCUCACCAAGGCGACGACGGGUAGCCGGCCUGAGAGGGGGGCCGGCCACACUGGGACUGAGACACGGCCCAGACUCCUACGGGAGGCAGCAGUGGGGAAUAUUGCACAAUGGGCGCAAGCCUGAUGCAGCAACGCCGCGUGAGGGAUGACGGCCUUCGGGUUGUAAACCUCUUUUAGCAGGGAAGAAGCGAAAGUGACGGUACCUGCAGAAAAAGCACCGGCUAACUACGUGCCAGCCGCCGCCGUAC